GCAGAAUAUUAAGAAGGGGGUUGUGUGGAAGGAGAUUUGGGAGAAGGGAGACUUCCGAGGAAGAUUAGGCAGAGUGGGCAGGAAGACCAGCUCUCAUGUGGGGGUGGGAGGCUCUCUUCCUUUUUUGCUCCUGUUCCUCCUUUUCUCUAGCUGGCAGGCCUCUUCUCCUGCACAGUGGUCCUGUCGGUGCUGCUGUGGCUGGGGCCCUUCUUUUACUAUCUGCCCAAGGUAAGGAGCAGAGGAGGCAUGAGCAUGGCUGGGAGGGGUAGCUGUAUUCCAGGACAUCGAGGUAGUCAGCCCACCUCCUCUGCCUCAAGGCUGUCCUGGCUUGCAUCAACAUCUCCAGCAUGCGCCAGGUGUUCUGCCAGAUGCAGGAACUUCCACAACUAUGGCACAUCAGCCGAGUGGACUUUGUGAGAAAUGCCAUUACCCCCAGAUUGCCCCCUCUCAUCUUGUUAGCAUCCCCAGCCUCUGCCCUGAACCAAACCUAAUUGUCCUGGUCUUAAGUUCUGCAACCCACCCACUCCCCCAGCAAACAUAACUCCUAGUAUGCUUUACUCACAGGCAAGGGAAAGGAUGGGGUUUGAACCCCUUUGACCUGAAUAUUUGUAACUUCCCAACUGGUGCGGGUCAUUACAUUUGGUGUGUGUCCCAUUGAAUCAACCCUGUUGUUUCCUUCUGUCAUGUUUUCUACUUCCUGGGUCAUCUCUCCCCAUCACUUGCCUUGGUAGUCACUGCCCUGGAUCUCUUUACCCAGCAGUGAUGGCCUGGCUUUUCUUUUGGGCAAUCCACCCCUAUCCCUAUCCUGCAGGCUGUGUGGAUGGUCACCUGGGUGGCUGUAGUGACCCUGAGUGUGGAUUUGGGCCUGGCUGUGGGUGUGGUCUUCUCCAUGAUGACUGUGGUCUGCCGCACCCGGAGGUGGGCAUAGAGAUGAGUGGAGUUGAGGUCGGGGCAGGGGAAGAGAAUGAGGUGCUUGGGGUGACUCUCCAGCCAGGCCAGGCUAAGCUGGAAAUCUGGCCCCACCUUCUUCCCUAGGGUGUAGUGCCUGGCACUUGGACAGGCUGAGGGGACAGAGCUCUACAGACCACUCAGAGGAAGCCCCAAGGUGGGUGGGCUGCAGCCAAAGACGGAAGGGAAGAUUAGCCCCAGACAUUUCUCUGAUCCUUUGACCUCUUAGCUCCUCCAGGUCCCGGGGCUCUGCAUCCUGAGCUAUCCAACACCACUGUACUUUGGGACCCAUGGGCAGUUUCGCCGCAACCUGGAGUGGCACCUGGGGCUCGGAGAAGGAGAAAAGGAGACUUCAAAGCCAGAUGGCCCAAUGGUUGCAGGUGAGAUGGGGUGACAAGAAGGAAGAUUUGGGCAUGUUGCAUGGUGACACCUGGGUACUCCUGUCUUCUCCCAUUCUAGUUGCUGAGCCUGUCAGGGUGGUGGUCCUAGACUUCAGUGGUGUCACCUUUGCAGAUGCUGCUGGGGCCAGAGAAGUGGUGCAGCUGGCCAGCCGAUGUCGAGAUGCUAGGAUCCGCCUCCUCCUGGCUCAGUGUAAUGCCUUGGUGCAGGGGACACUGACCCGGGCAGGACUCCUGGACAGGGUGACCCCAGAUCAGCUGUUUGUGAGUGUGCAGGAUGCAGCUGCUUAUGCCCUGGGGAGCCUGGUAAGGGGCAGUAGCACCAGGAGUGGGAGCUGGGAGGCACUGGGCUGCGGCAAGUGAGGCAGGGGAGCUCACUGACCCAAAGAUUUGCACCGUGUGGGUCUGACCUCAUCAUGUGGAGUGCAGAGGGCCCUGAUGACAUGUGUGUGAUGAGGACCAUGACCCUUGAACCCCCUUACCUAACGUAACUAAUAAAAUGAAGCUGAGAGCUUUGGAAUCCA
Molecule: small RNA, 1870 nt
Filed under: Pan troglodytes (chimpanzee)
Lineage: Eukaryota; Metazoa; Chordata; Mammalia; Primates; Hominidae
Description: retained intron
Source: RNAcentral